CAGUGGCAGCAUCAUGGGGGCGCCUUCACCUCCUAGCUCAUGCCUAGUGCCUCCCCUCCCUCCGGAGCAGGAUUCCCCAGUGAACAAACUGCUCUACGCCCGGGAGAUCCCACGCUACAAGCAGAUGGUGGAGAGGUGGGUGUCAGAGGCAUCAGGGCUGCGGGGAUGGGGGCUGCCCCACGCCUAACUCAGUCUGCUCCUCCAGAUACUAUGCGGACAUUCGCCAGAGCUCUCCGGCGAGCUACCAGGAGAUGAACUCUGCCCUGGCUGAGCUCUCCGGGAACUACACUUCUGCUCCCCACUGUCUGGAGGCUCUGCAAGAACUCUACAACCACAUCCACAGGUACUACGAUCAGGUCGCCGCCCUGGUGGAGAACAAAGUGACUGACCUGUGAGCUCUGGGCUCAGACAGCAGCAAGCCGGAUCCACCACCACCGCAGUGCCUUAUGACCCCGGAACCGAGCCAGCCACUGAGGGGAGCCGGCAGAGCCUGGGGGCACAGGGUGCAAAGCCAGGCACUGUGCCCAGCAGUGGGCUCCCUGCCUGCCACCUCCCCUGCCAGCCCGCCCACCUUCCCCCCACCUGGGAUUGUUUCUAAUUUAUAAGGAUCCCCCUCCUUCCCCCUCUCCCCAUUGUAUUUAUUUGCCUGCUGGAAAAUCACAUCCGGAAAUAAAAUAGAAAUGUCUUUUUAUUUU
This 695-nucleotide small RNA is filed under the name Pongo abelii (Sumatran orangutan). RNAcentral's name for it is "processed transcript". Lineage: Eukaryota; Metazoa; Chordata; Mammalia; Primates; Hominidae. The record is from RNAcentral.